Molecule: ribosomal RNA, 1380 nt
Filed under: Bacillus sp. (in: firmicutes)
Lineage: Bacteria; Bacillati; Bacillota; Bacilli; Caryophanales; Bacillaceae
Description: bacterial SSU rRNA
Rfam family: Bacterial small subunit ribosomal RNA
Source: RNAcentral
GCCGGGGGGGCGUGUCUAUACAUGCAGUCGAGCGGACAGAAGGGAGCUUGCUCCCGGAUGUUAGCGGCGGACGGGUGAGUAACACGUGGGUAACCUGCCUGUAAGACUGGGAUAACUCCGGGAAACCGGAGCUAAUACCGGAUAGUUCCUUGAACCGCAUGGUUCAAGGAUGAAAGACGGUUUCGGCUGUCACUUACAGAUGGACCCGCGGCGCAUUAGCUAGUUGGUGGGGUAMUGGCUCACCMAKGCGACGAUGCGUAGCCGACCUGAGAGGGURAUCGGYCACACUGGGACUGAGACWCGGCCCAGACUCCUACGGGAGGCAGCAGUAGGGAAUCUUCCGCAAUGGACGAAAGUCUGACGGAGCAACGCCGCGUGAGUGAUGAAGGUUUUCGGAUCGUAAAGCUCUGUUGUUAGGGAAGAACAAGUGCGAGAGUAACUGCUCGCACCUUGACGGUACCUAACCAGAAAGCCACGGCUAACUACGUGCCAGCAGCCGCGGUAAUACGUAGGUGGCAAGCGUUGUCCGGAAUUAUUGGGCGUAAAGGGCUCGCAGGCGGUUUCUUAAGUCUGAUGUGAAAGCCCCCGGCUCAACCGGGGAGGGUCAUUGGAAACUGGGAAACUUGAGUGCAGAAGAGGAGAGUGGAAUUCCACGUGUAGCGGUGAAAUGCGUAGAGAUGUGGAGGAACACCAGUGGCGAAGGCGACUCUCUGGUCUGUAACUGACGCUGAGGAGCGAAAGCGUGGGGAGCGAACAGGAUUAGAUACCCUGGUAGUCCACGCCGUAAACGAUGAGUGCUAAGUGUUAGGGGGUUUCCGCCCCUUAGUGCUGCAGCUAACGCAUUAAGCACUCCGCCUGGGGAGUACGGUCGCAAGACUGAAACUCAAAGGAAUUGACGGGGGCCCGCACAAGCGGUGGAGCAUGUGGUUUAAUUCGAAGCAACGCGAAGAACCUUACCAGGUCUUGACAUCCUCUGACAACCCUAGAGAUAGGGCUUUCCCUUCGGGGACAGAGUGACAGGUGGUGCAUGGUUGUCGUCAGCUCGUGUCGUGAGAUGUUGGGUUAAGUCCCGCAACGAGCGCAACCCUUGAUCUUAGUUGCCAGCAUUCAGUUGSGCACUCUAAGGUGACUGCCGGUGACMAACCSGAGGAAGGUGGGGAUGACGUCRAAUCAUCAUGCCCCUUAUGACCUGGGCUACACACGUGCUACAAUGGACAGAACAAAGGGCUGCAAGACCGCAAGGUUUAGCCAAUCCCAUAAAUCUGUUCUCAGUUCGGAUCGCAGUCUGCAACUCGACUGCGUGAAGCUGGAAUCGCUAGUAAUCGCGGAUCAGCAUGCCGCGGUGAAUACGUUCCCGGGCCUUGUACACACCGCCCGUCA